RNAcentral lists this ribosomal RNA (434 nucleotides) under uncultured Lachnospiraceae bacterium. RNAcentral describes it as "partial 16S ribosomal RNA". It matches the Rfam family "Bacterial small subunit ribosomal RNA", at positions 341 to 792 of the family's 1533-position model. Lineage: Bacteria; Bacillati; Bacillota; Clostridia; Lachnospirales; Lachnospiraceae. The record is from RNAcentral.
ACGGAAGGUAGCAGUGGGGAAUAUUGGACAAUGGGGGCAACCCUGAUCCAGCGACGCCGCGUGAGUGAAGAAGUAUUUCGGUAUGUAAAGCUCUAUCAGCAGGGAAGAAAAUGACGGUACCUGACUAAGAAGCCCCGGCUAACUACGUGCCAGCAGCCGCGGUAAUACGUAGGGGGCAAGCGUUAUCCGGAUUUACUGGGUGUAAAGGGAGCGUAGACGGCGAUGCAAGUCUGAAGUGAAAGCCCGUGGCUUAACUGCGGAACUGCUUUGGAAACUGUAUUGCUAGAGUGUCGGAGAGGUGAGUGGAAUUCCCAGUGUAGCGGUGAAAUGCGUAGAUAUUGGGAGGAACACCGGCGGCGAAGGCGGCUCACUGGACGAUAACUGACGUUGAGGCUCGAAAGCGUGGGGAGCAAACAGGAUUAGAUACCCUGGUA